Long non-coding RNA from Sinocyclocheilus rhinocerous, 146 nucleotides. RefSeq lists it as uncharacterized. NCBI's taxonomy places the organism in Eukaryota, Metazoa, Chordata, Actinopteri, Cypriniformes, Cyprinidae. The transcript is spliced from 3 exons. The record is from RefSeq and is a predicted model, not a curated record.
UCCCUGCGCUACCAAGAGUGACUAUAUCCUGCACAUGCCUUGUUUGACUCUUGCCUUUGGUCUGGUUGGGACCUUUUCCUAAUAAACUGUUAUAUUUCACAUUCGCAAUUGAAUCCUCCUUUUGUACCCAUGACAGUUUGACUCAC